This 413-nucleotide small RNA is filed under the name Pongo abelii (Sumatran orangutan). RNAcentral describes it as "processed transcript". Lineage: Eukaryota; Metazoa; Chordata; Mammalia; Primates; Hominidae. The record is from RNAcentral.
CCUGCCUUUGAAGGAGACCAGACUCCGGCUCCGCCCGGCCCGUGCCGGGUGGUCUGCGGCCCCGAGUCGGUGACCAAGCCCUCCGAGUGAUCGGCCUGCCCUCGGGUGCACCCGCGGGUCCCAACGUGGGGGACCCCUCCAUCCGCAAAGCCAGGGUCCUGAAGAUCGCUCUGGGAAAAGGGAAGGAUGCCGCUCUUCUUCCGGAAGCGGAAACCCAGUGAGGAGGCUCGGAAACGCCUGGAGUACCAGAUGUGUUUGGCAAAAGAAGCUGGGGCAGAUGACAUUCUCGACAUCUCUAAAUGUGAGCUCUCAGAGGUGCUGAUCGUCCACACAAAUCACCUCACUUCGCUGCUUCCCAAAUCCUGCAGCCUCCUGAGUCUGGCAACCAUCAAGGUACUGGGCCCUCCUCCCAG